CUUCAAUUUUAAAAAAGUACAAAUUUUAUUGGAACAAUACAGAGAAGAUUAGCAUGGCCCCUGCUCAAGGAUGACACGGAAAUUCGUGAAGCGUUCCAUAUUUUU
Molecule: small nuclear RNA, 105 nt
Organism: Balaenoptera musculus (blue whale)
Lineage: Eukaryota; Metazoa; Chordata; Mammalia; Artiodactyla; Balaenopteridae
Source: Ensembl